RNAcentral lists this ribosomal RNA (1427 nucleotides) under Pectobacterium brasiliense. RNAcentral's name for it is "bacterial SSU rRNA". It matches the Rfam family "Bacterial small subunit ribosomal RNA". Lineage: Bacteria; Pseudomonadati; Pseudomonadota; Gammaproteobacteria; Enterobacterales; Pectobacteriaceae. The record is from RNAcentral.
UGGGCGGCAGCCUACACAUGCAGUCGAGCGGUAGCACAGAGGAGCUUGCUCUUUGGGUGACGAGCGGCGGACGGGCGAGUAAUGUCUGGGAAACUGCCUGAUGGAGGGGGAUAACUACUGGAAACGGUAGCUAAUACCGCAUAACCUCGCAAGAGCAAAGAGGGGGACCUUCGGGCCUCUCGCCAUCAGAUGUGCCCAGAUGGGAUUAGCUAGUAGGUGAGGUAAUGGCUCACCUAGGCGACGAUCCCUAGCUGGUCUGAGAGGAUGACCAGCCACACUGGAACUGAGACACGGUCCAGACUCCUACGGGAGGCAGCAGUGGGGAAUAUUGCACAAUGGGCGCAAGCCUGAUGCAGCCAUGCCGCGUGUGUGAAGAAGGCCUUCGGGUUGUAAAGCACUUUCAGCGGGGAGGAAGGCGGUAAGGUUAAUAACCUUGUCGAUUGACGUUACCCGCAGAAGAAGCACCGGCUAACUCCGUGCCAGCAGCCGCGGUAAUACGGAGGGUGCAAGCGUUAAUCGGAAUGACUGGGCGUAAAGCGCACGCAGGCGGUCUGUUAAGUUGGAUGUGAAAUCCCCGGGCUUAACCUGGGAACUGCAUUCAAAACUGACAGGCUAGAGUCUUGUAGAGGGGGGUAGAAUUCCAGGUGUAGCGGUGAAAUGCGUAGAGAUCUGGAGGAAUACCGGUGGCGAAGGCGGCCCCCUGGACAAAGACUGACGCUCAGGUGCGAAAGCGUGGGGAGCAAACAGGAUUAGAUACCCUGGUAGUCCACGCUGUAAACGAUGUCGAUUUGGAGGUUGUGCCCUUGAGGCGUGGCUUCCGGAGCUAACGCGUUAAAUCGACCGCCUGGGGAGUACGGCCGCAAGGUUAAAACUCAAAUGAAUUGACGGGGGCCCGCACAAGCGGUGGAGCAUGUGGUUUAAUUCGAUGCAACGCGAAGAACCUUACCUACUCUUGACAUCCAGAGAACUUAGCAGAGAUGCUUUGGUGCCUUCGGGAACUCUGAGACAGGUGCUGCAUGGCUGUCGUCAGCUCGUGUUGUGAAAUGUUGGGUUAAGUCCCGCAACGAGCGCAACCCUUAUCCUUUGUUGCCAGCGAUUCGGUCGGGAACUCAAAGGAGACUGCCGGUGAUAAACCGGAGGAAGGUGGGGAUGACGUCAAGUCAUCAUGGCCCUUACGAGUAGGGCUACACACGUGCUACAAUGGCGUAUACAAAGAGAAGCGACCUCGCGAGAGCAAGCGGACCUCAUAAAGUACGUCGUAGUCCGGAUUGGAGUCUGCAACUCGACUCCAUGAAGUCGGAAUCGCUAGUAAUCGUAGAUCAGAAUGCUACGGUGAAUACGUUCCCGGGCCUUGUACACACCGCCCGUCACACCAUGGGAGUGGGUUGCAAAAGAAGUAGGUAGCUUAACCUUCGGGAGGGCGCUAC